CACGAGAUACCAGCUUAAUAGAACCUCCGCCUGAGAUAGAGUAGACGACAACAUGACGAAAAUAUCAACCGUAUUCUUCAUCACAGCACUGAAAAAAAAGUAUAUGUCCCCAAACUGCCAGUGCUGAUUUUCUUCAGCUGAAGCACAUAGCCACGCCCAAGAGGUUGGAUCCAAAUCUUGAUUUUUUGAGGACAAGAAAAUUGCAUCGCAUAUAAAGAAAUUGAUCAGAUAUAAUAAUGCAUCAUUAAAAGUUUCUCAUAAUGACUGCGCCUUAAAAUUUCCUGAAUUUGGAUCUUGUGUGAAUAAGAGUGAAAAUUAGACUGCCUUUUUAGUGAAGUACAAGUGCGAAAACCUGGA
Molecule: long non-coding RNA, 357 nt
Organism: Argiope bruennichi
Lineage: Eukaryota; Metazoa; Arthropoda; Arachnida; Araneae; Araneidae
Exons: 4
Source: RefSeq, a predicted model, not a curated record